AUGUCUAAUCAGAUUUUUUGGAAGCGACAGCAACGCCCCUACGAGACUCGAUUGAUUCUUCCUGUGUUUGCCUCUGUUUUUAAGGCCACUGCGAAAUCUCAGUCGCAUUGCGAAUCAACUCGCAGUCUGCGGCUGAAAAUGGUAGCCGCUGCUGCGCAAAAGAUGAAUGUCCUACUGUUCAUGUUCGUGUUUUGGAGUGGCCAAACAUUAGCCCAAGAAGAUCAUCCCGAAAUGAUGUCGUCGUUGGGUCAACCGUGUAAUUGUACGGACACAAUUUUCCGGUUCUCCGAGAGAGCGUUGAAUAGCGAAAAGACCAUCAGACUAUCAACGUUUAGGAACAGAGAUCGUCAAAAGGCGUUGUUGGUCGUUAACGUGGCUACUUACUGAGGGUUUACCGAACAGUACCACGAACUGAAUGCACUGCAAGACGAAUUAUUCAGAGAUUUGGCCAUCUUAGCUUUUCCUUGUAACCAAUUCGGCAAGCAAGAACCAGGGGGAUCAGAUUUAGAAAUCUUGAAUGGAAUCCGUUACGUUCGUCCGGGCGAUAAUUUCCAGCCCAAGAUGACGCUCUUCCAAAAGACCGUCGUCAACGGUGCUAAUCAACAUCCACUAUUUGCAUAUCUAAAGAGCUGCUGUCCGCCCACUCGAGACUAUUUCGAGGAAUCAACGAAAUUGUACUACACCCCAAUUCGUAACAGCGACAUCCGCUGGAACUUUGAAAAAUUCCUGAUCGAUCGCAAAGGAAUACCCGUGAUGCGCUACGACGCUAUGGCUCGUGUAGCGGACAUGCGCAGUGACAUUGAUGCGCUUGUUAAUUUCUAAACACAUUAACCCUUUUUCUAUUUCAACAUUUUUUUUUUUUUAACCUGACUAAUGUCUUUUUCCAUAUUCGUUUGUCUCGUUUUAAUGAUGUGAGCUUCUCUGGGUUUGUAUGUUGAGUUUGACACAUGAUCCUCUAGAUCUCAACUGUCCGAAACGUGACGGCGGUCUAAGGGGGGAGGCUAAGCUCUCAGUUGGCUGGAAACGAAUCCGAAACCGAGAAACGACGUCACUCUUGGAGCUCUUUUGUGCAUUCUAAGGGCAAUCGGAUCGAGUUUCCAUGCCGCAGAGUCUUGUCAUCGACUAUAAUUCCCGAGACUCAUAUCGAUUUUGUCGCUCUAUUUAGUUCUUAUAAUUGAAUAAACGCUCUCCUAUUCUUUGGAAGGAGGAAAAAAAAAGGAAAA
This is an RNA transcript of Daphnia magna, 1223 nucleotides long. It is a transcript of the gene named glutathione peroxidase-like, with no coding region annotated. The record is from RefSeq and is a predicted model, not a curated record. Lineage: Eukaryota; Metazoa; Arthropoda; Branchiopoda; Diplostraca; Daphniidae. The transcript is spliced from 5 exons.